CCUACGGGAGGCAGCAGUAAGGAAUAUUGGGCAAUGGACGCAAGUCUGACCCAGCCAUGCCGCGUGCAGGAUGAAGGCCCUUUGGGUUGUAAACUGCUUUUAUCUGGGAAGAAAUCCACUGUUUCUACGGUGGUUGACGGUACCAGAGGAAUAAGCACCGGCUAACUCCGUGCCAGCAGCCGCGGUAAUACGGAGGGUGCAAGCGUUAUCCGGAUUCACUGGGUUUAAAGGGUGCGUAGGCGGGUUUUUAAGUCAGCGGUGAAAGCUCCGAGCUUAACUCGGAAAUUGCCGUUGAUACUAUUAAUCUUGAAUUUAGUUGAGGUGGGCGGAAUGUGUAGUGUAGCGGUGAAAUGCUUAGAUAUUACACAGAACACCUAUUGCGAAGGCAGCUCGCUAAACUAAUAUUGACGCUGAGGCACGAAAGCGUGGGGAUCAAACAGGAUUAGAAACCCUGGUAGUCCACGCCCUAAACGAUGAUUACUCGAUCCGUGCGAUACACUGUACGGGUCUAUGCAAAGCAUUAAGUAAUCCACCUGGAGUACGACCGCAAGGUUGAAACUUAAAGGAAUUGACGGNNGAGAGNGCGAGCGACGACGAGGGAGAG
RNAcentral lists this ribosomal RNA (604 nucleotides) under uncultured bacterium. Its description in RNAcentral is "bacterial SSU rRNA". It matches the Rfam family "Bacterial small subunit ribosomal RNA", at positions 338 to 945 of the family's 1533-position model. The record is from RNAcentral.